GUGCUUGCUUUAGCAGCACAUAUACUAAAAUUGGAAUGAUACAGAGAAGAUUAGCAUUGCCCCUGUGUAAGGAUGAUUGAGGAAAUAACAACUGAAAACUUUC
This 103-nucleotide small nuclear RNA is filed under the name Dasypus novemcinctus (nine-banded armadillo). Lineage: Eukaryota; Metazoa; Chordata; Mammalia; Cingulata; Dasypodidae. The record is from RNAcentral.